GGACCAAGGAGUCGAACAUUUGUGCGAGUGUUUGGGUGUUAAACCCUCACGCGUAAUGAAAGUGAACGGAGGUGAGAGCCUUUAGGGGUGCAUCAUCGACCGAUCCUGAUGUCUUCGGAUGGAUUUGAGUAAGAGCAUAACUGUUCGGACCCGAAAGAUGGUGAACUAUGCGUGGAUAGGGUGAAGCCAGAGGAAACUCUGG
This 202-nucleotide ribosomal RNA is filed under the name uncultured fungus. Its description in RNAcentral is "partial 28S ribosomal RNA". It matches the Rfam family "Eukaryotic large subunit ribosomal RNA", at positions 663 to 867 of the family's 3401-position model. The record is from RNAcentral. Lineage: Eukaryota; Fungi.